RNAcentral lists this ribosomal RNA (497 nucleotides) under uncultured bacterium. Its description in RNAcentral is "partial 16S ribosomal RNA". It matches the Rfam family "Bacterial small subunit ribosomal RNA", at positions 28 to 507 of the family's 1533-position model. The record is from RNAcentral.
GAUGAACGCUGGGGGCGUGCCUAAUACAUGCAAGUCGAGCGAACAGACGAGGAGCUUGCUCCUUCGACGUUAGCGGCGGACGGGUGAGUAACACGUAGGUAACCUACCUAUAAGACUGGGAUAACUUCGGGAAACCGGAGCUAAUACCGGAUAAUAUUUCGAACCGCAUGGUUCGAUAGUGAAAGAUGGCUUUGCUAUCACUUAUAGAUGGACCUGCGCCGUAUUAGCUAGUUGGUAAGGUAACGGCUUACCAAGGCAACGAUACGUAGCCGACCUGAGAGGGUGAUCGGCCACACUGGAACUGAGACACGGUCCAGACUCCUACGGGAGGCAGCAGUAGGGAAUCUUCCGCAAUGGGCGAAAGCCUGACGGAGCAACGCCGCGUGAGUGAUGAAGGUCUUCGGAUCGUAAAACUCUGUUAUUAGGGAAGAACAAACGUGUAAGUAACUGUGCACGUCUUGACGGUACCUAAUCAGAAAGCCACGGCUAACUACGUG